AGUGAACGCUGGCGGUAGGCCUAACACAUGCAAGUCGAACGGCAGCACAGUAAGAGCUUGCUCUUACGGGUGGCGAGUGGCGGACGGAUGAGGAAUACAUCGGAAUCUACUUUUUCGUGGGGGAUAACGUAGGGAAACUUACGCUAAUACCGCAUACGACCUACGGAUGAAGGCAGGGGAUCUUCGGACCUUGCGCGAUUGAAUGAGCCGAUGUCGGAUUAGCUAGUUGGCGGGGUAAAGGCCCACCAAGGCGACGAUCCGUAGCUGGUCUGAGAGGAUGAUCAGCCACACUGGAACUGAGACACGGUCCAGACUCCUACGGGAGGCAGCAGUGGGGAAUAUUGGACAAUGGGCGCAAGCCUGAUCCAGCCAUACCGCGUGGGUGAAGAAGGCCUUCGGGUUGUAAAGCCCUUUUGUUGGGAAAGAAAAGCAGCAGGUUAAUACCCCGCUGUUCUGACGGUACCCAAAGAAUAAGCACCGGCUAACUUCGUG
This 492-nucleotide ribosomal RNA is filed under the name uncultured bacterium. Its description in RNAcentral is "partial 16S ribosomal RNA". It matches the Rfam family "Bacterial small subunit ribosomal RNA", at positions 29 to 507 of the family's 1533-position model. The record is from RNAcentral.